RNAcentral lists this long non-coding RNA (15693 nucleotides) under Manihot esculenta (cassava). RNAcentral's name for it is "long non-coding RNA (MESC_LNC001212)". Lineage: Eukaryota; Viridiplantae; Streptophyta; Magnoliopsida; Malpighiales; Euphorbiaceae. The record is from RNAcentral.
GAUUGGAUCUCUCUAUUUCUUUAUGCAAUUGACAAUUGUUUGAUGCCUAGGGCCCAAGGACGUUCCUUGGCAAUUUGUUAAUUAGUAAUUAAUUAGAGGACGUUCCCUAAUUAAUUUAAUCAUAAGGAGAGACAUGGUGGUGAGAAGCGUCUUCCACCCCCAUAACUAAUCUAUUGAACCAAUCGAGAUAAUCUAAGUUUCAAUGAUCAAUCCAAACAACCAAAGUGGAUCCAUAUCUUCAACUAGACUUUUCUCAUAUUGAUUCCCUCUUUUAUUUUAAUUAUUUGCUUUUUAUUAUUAUUCUCAUUAUUAGUUUACUACAAUCAAUCUCAAACCCCCCAUUUUACUUUUACUGCAAUUUAAUUUUAUUAUGUUUCCAGUUUAUCUCAUUUGAUCCCACUUUCAGUCUUUUAUCUCAUCUUUAAUUUAUUAUUGUUUCAGUUCAUUUUAUUGGUCUUGUUGAGAAAAAUAAAUAAGUAAUCAAUUCUCUGUGGAUUCGAUCCUUUCACCACUAUCUGCAGUUGUAAAAUUGUUGAUAACCAGGAAGGUUAUUUUUGACCGGCUUCGACAACCGCGAGUCAUGUGGGUAGGGUGGAUAGAAAGGUGGAUAGGGCAUGUAGGUAGGGUAGGGGCUAUAGUUGGUGUAAUCCGAUGUGUUUCCCAUCGGAUACCCUGUACCCUGAGCAAAGGGUGGAUAAUGGGGUGGAAAACCAUACCCCGAGGCCUGAGUGCCUCCUUGUGACUCCCCUGUCCCUUCUUCCGUCAUGCUGACAUCCAGGUUUCCAUCCCUCCUCUGAUCUUCUUCCAUAACCUCCCUCACAUCUGAAGAACUUCCUCCUCUGUCUGUCCCCCUUCUACUAGUAUCAAAAGACCUUCUAGGGUCCCUUGGUACCCUUUCUCUGUUCGCUCUGCAUGACAUUGCCCUAGGCAAUGUUGGAGGACGGGCACUAGUGCCCUCAUCCUCUGGUGGGACUCCUGUCAAUCGUGCAGAUCGACGAGUUCCUCUCAUCCUAUUUUCUGAAAAACAGCACAUACAAAACUUCAAACAUCAGUAUCAUAUGGUCCAUGUGGAAACACAUGAACCUGCAUCGCAUAUAUGGCAAACAUAGCAUAACAUUUAUGCACAUGUAUAUAAUCAUGGCAUAUCACAUCAUCAAUCAAGACAGGACUCUACAUCCUAUCCUAGUGGACAUGACUUUUCCUAUUGUGCUUGACCUCCUAUAACAUCUAUGAGCCCGACACGCUAGGUCCGAUCAUGUGAACCUAGGGCUCUGAUACCACUCUGUAACGCCCCGCAAUCCGGACCGCUACCGGCGCUAGGAUCCAGAUCGGCGUAAGGCCGCCGGGACCCGUAGCAAGCCUAACAUAUAACCUGUGAACCUGUUUCAUCCCAUACAUGAUCAUACAUCCUCAUAAGUCUGUAAACAUUCUCUCUUACAUCAACCAAGCUCAAACUGUAUAUAAACAUAAACAUAAACACAAACCUCCACUGGAGCCCUCAUCAAAUGCUCCAAUGGGGUAUCUCAUCAUACAUGAACUUGGUUGAAGCUUAACAUCAUAUAUCAUAACUUAAAGAUCAUGUACAUAACAAUGGGAUUGACAACAUAUAAUGGUCAAGCACAAAUCUAACCUCAAUAACAUAACUUGCAAUUACAUAACUGUUCUAGACUUUACAUUACAUCUUAAUCAUUUGUCAUGUCCACAAACUAUCUAUUACAUGAACAAAACUUCAUAACACUAGCUGAUCUCCUGGUCUACCCUGUACCUGCACGCCUGGGGUUAGGGGAAAGGGGUGAGCUGCGAAGCCCAGUGAGCAGAAUAUAAAAAAAACAUAUAUUAAAAAUGUUCCAUGCUUCCAUGAAAUGCAACACAUCACAAAAAAAUCACAUAAGGAUGGUAUUGUCACCUAUAGUCCUCAACGUAGUCCAACUGUGCCAGGGGCGUAGAAUGGGCCUCACUGGUCUUUCUCUUACAUAUCAUAACAUAUAGUCCAACUGUGCCAGGGGCGUAGAAUGGGCCUCACUGGUCUUUCUCUUACUCUGUGCCAGGGGCGUAGAAUGGGCCUCACUGGUCUUUCUCUAUCAUAACCUCAUCAUAUCAUAUCAUAAGAGGACUAAAGGAUCAUUCAAUAACCUAUCCACAUCCACAUCAAAUUAUGCAAUGCAACAUAUUCGUGAAAAGCUAAUGCAAACAUCCUAUAAUAUCACAUGGCAUACAUGAUGCAUGAGCAUGCUCAAAAAGUUAUGUUUCAUUUAUUUAAAAACUUAAGGUUUAUUCCACUCACCUCUGGCUAGCUCUGAAGACUCUGACACAGCUGACUCACUGCUGGGGUUCUCGGUUCCUCGGGUCCGAACCUACACAGGUGGACGCUAAUGAGGGACCAAACAUAUAUAAACAUCUCUCUAAUAUACUCCCCAAAAACCCCCUUAAAACAUCAUGAAAUCAUCAUACAAAAAAUAUGCAUGAAAGGGCUGAACAGGGCACUUUCGGCGGCACCUUCGGCGGCCGAAAGUCCUGGACAGAUCCGAAAGUCAGGCACUUUCGGCGGCACCUUCGGCGGCCGAAAGUCCCAGACAGAGACGAAAGUCUCUUUUCGGGGGCAACUUCGGCAGCCGAAUGCUGCCUCCACAAAGGGGGUUCGGCGGCCGAAACUCCCUUCGGCUGCCGAACCUGGUUUCUGCCAAAGGGGCAGAAACUUGGUUCAAACGAACCUCCUGCCUCCCAAAACUUCAAAUCAUGCAUAAACUUGUUUUACAACAUGCAUACUUCACAUACAUUACACCUAGGGGUCUCAAACUAUCAUAUACCCCAUCUACAACACUUCAAACACACAAACAUCAACAUACAUUGCUCAAAAUCACAACAUAAACCCAUAAACAUGCCCAUAACCUAAACAUGCAUUCUACCCCAUAAAACCACUUAAAGCUUACUUAAAACAUGCAAUGGGUUUAAGAUCGGCUCUUACCUCUUGAAGAUCGAGAGAGAGACAACCAAAAACUCGGGGGUGGGAGAGAUUGGGUUCUUGAACCUCCAAGCUCCCAAAAAAACUUUGCUCAAAAGCUCAAAUCUUCAAAACAAAGUUAAAACAAGUGAAAAUCUUGAAAGAUCUAAAGAAAACACUCAAGAUCGAGGGAGGAGCGGCGGAGACUCACCCUGGCCGACAACAGGGGAGAAAAAGCUCGCCCGUGCGGACCUAAGGGACCCUUUUAUAGUGGCUGGCCAGGCCACGUUCGGGGGCCGAAAAUGCCUCCGCAUGCAUGCCAUGUUCGGCGGCCGAACUUGAGCUUCGGCGGCCGAACCUGGACUUCCCUCGCUCAUGCUUUCAGGGGCCUAACAUGCCUCCUAAUCACAUGCAUGUUCGGUGGCCAAACUUGUCUUUCGGCUGCCGAACCUGGGUUUUCCUCUAAAAAAUUUUCAUGUAAAAACUCAUUUAAAAAUCAUACUUAAAACAUUAAAAUACAUGAAAACAUUUUAUAAAAACAUGUUUGUACCCUUCUAGAGGUUUCCGACAUCCGAAUUCCACCGGACGGUAGAAAUUCCAAUACCGGAGUCUAGCCGGGUAUUACACACUGUGCCCGGCCCUCCUAGGGCUCCUCAGGACUUCUAUACAUACACGUUCGAGGGCUAAUGGGUCCACACUGUGCCCGUCCCAUAGCCAAGUAAUAAUGCAAUGCAAUAUCUUCGUGUAUACUAAUGCAAUGCAAUACACCCUAUCAUAAACAUGGCAUUUAUGAUGCAUGGAUCAUGCUAAAACAUUCAUUAAAUUUAAAAACAUAGUUCUGUUCCACUCACCUUUGUCAACUGCUGUAACAGUCUUUGUAACUCUAACUCUGUGGGCCUCCUUUGUAAUACCCGGCUAGAGUCCAUCAUCGGAAUUCCUGUAGUCCGGUGGAUUUCUGAUGUCGGAAUGCCCUAGAAGGGUUCGGGUAUGUUUUUAUGUGUUUUUUUAAAGAGUUUUAAUGUUUUAAAGUGUUUAAAAGAAUGAGUUUUUGAAAGAAAAGCACCAAGGCAGAAAAGCCAAGGUUCGGCCGUCGAAGGUCACUUUCGGCCGCCGAACUUGCAUGGCUUUCGGGUUUCACGUUUGGCCGCCGAAGGUGGUCUGGCCAGCCACCUAUAAAAGGCCCUAGGUCGGUCAAAUGGAUAAGAUUUCCUUUCCAUUUGCACGAGCUGAGGUGAGACUUGAUCCUCCUUGGGUGAUUUGUGUGUUUUCUCAAAUCUUUCAUGUUUUUGAAUGAUUUUCAUGGGGUUUUGAAGGUUUUGAGCAAAAAGAGCAAGUUUGGAAACUUGGAGAUUUUGGGAGAAGAUUUCUUCAUAACUCCACGUUAGGAUCGUUUAUUUCCUUGUUUGGAAGAGGUAAGUAAAGAUCCUGAACUUCCUUUCUUAAUUUUUGAAGGUUUUAAGGGAGUUUUAUGGUGUAUAUGCAUGUUUAAGUGUUAUUUGCUAUGUUUGUUGGGGUUAUAGGUUAGUUUUAGACCCCUUUGUGCAUGUUAUAUGGCAUGUGCUAGUUGGGAGUAGUUGAUAUGCAUGUUGGAUAGGUUUUAGGUGAGUUUUGCAUGAAACAGAGCAGGCUUCUGCACUAUGGGCAAAGCUAGGUUCGGCCACCGAAGGAAGGUUCGGCCGCCGAACCCCUUGUGGAGGCAGUUUCGGCUGCCAAAGCUUGCCUCCGAAAAUUUGGACUUUCGUCUCUGGAGGUAAGGUUCGGCCGUCGAAAGUGCCGCUGAAGGUUUGAGUUUCAUCUCUGGACGAGACUUUCGGCUGCCGAAGGUGCCGCCGAACAUGCAUGAGUUUCGUCUCUGGAGGGGGGUUUCGACCGUCGAACCUGCCGCCGAAAGUGCCCUGUCCAACCUUCUUUUGCAUGUUUUAUGUGAUAGUUUUAGGAUCUUUUAGAGGGCUUUUGGGGGAGUUAUUAGAGAUGUUCUUGAGUUAGUUUGGUCCCUCAUUUGUGUCCACCUGUGUAGGAACGGACUAGAGGAAUCAGGGGAGUCAGCAGUGAGCACUGCUUCAGAACCUGCAAAGUUAGUUCAGAGUCAGCCAAAGGUGAGUGGAACUAAACUUAAUGUUUUAAUAUGAGAACUUAAAUAUUUUUUGCAUGUUCCAUGCAUCAUGACUAUGUUAUAGGAUGUGUGCAUUAGUGCAUUAGUACUCACGAAGAUGUUGCAUUGCAUUUUAUGAUGUUGUUAUGGAUGGUUAUUGAAUGAUCUAAUAGUUUUCAUGUGAUAUGAUGAUACGGUAUGGAAGUCCAGGUCGAGGCCCAUUCUACGCCCCUGGCAUAUGUUAUGUUAUGUUAUGUUAUGGAAGAGAAAGACCAGGUCGAGGCCCAUUCUACGCCCCUGGCAUUAUUGGAGAGCUUGAGGACUAUUAGUGACAAUACUAUCCUUGCUAUGAAUUACUUGUGAUGUGAUGCAUUCCAUGAGAUCAUGAUUUUGAUAACUUGUUUUAUAGUUCUGCUCACUGGGCUAGUAUAGCUCAUCCCUCUCCCUUAACCCCAGUUUUGCAGGUUCAGUCUUCAGAGUCCAGAGGUCUAUAGCAGGGUGCAGCAGAGAGAAGAGAUAUGUAAUAGCUAGAGUGGACAUGUAAUUGUAAAGAAAUAGAAUAAUGUGUAUAGAAUGGUGCUUGACUUAUAAGAGUGUAAUCCCUUUUUGUAUAUGUACAUGGUCUGUUUAUGAAAAUGUUUUAUGUUUUAUGUAUGAAAACCAGGCUUGACAUUAUAUGAGAUGACCCGCCUAGAGCCAAGAUGAGAGCUCUAGUAGGGGUUUCACAGUACAGAGAUAGAGUAUGCACAGGUUAAGCCUUGGUACAGUGAAAUUUUUAAUUUUUAUGGAAAAUGUAUGAUCAUGUAUGGGAUUUCACAAGUACACAGAGUUCACAGGAGGCUUACUAUGGGUCCCGGCGACCUUAAGUCAAUCUGGAUCCUAGUGCCGGUAGCAGUUCGGUUUUUGGGCUGUUACAGAUUGGUAUCAGAGCCCUAAGUUCAUAUGAUCGGACCUAUAGAGGUAGAGUCGGGCUCAUAGAGGUUCUAGUAAUUCAAGCACCAUAGGAAAACAUGUCCACUAGGAUAGGAUGUCAGUCCUGUCUAUAUGAUGAUGUGGAAUGCCAUGAUUCAUGCAUGUGCAUUAUCUUAUGUGUGAUAUAUCUUUGAGGUUCAUGUGUUUUCACAUGGACUAUAUGUGUUGCUGAUGUGUUAUGUUAUGUGCUGUUUUCUAGAGAGUUAAGAUGCGAGGAACUCGUCGAUCCGCAAGAUUGACUGGAGUCCCACCUGAAAGUGAGGGUACAGCUGCUCGUCCUCCUGCAUUGCCAAGGGCAAGAUCUCACAGGUCAAGCAGGAAGGGAACAUCACGAGACCCUAGAAGGUCUUCUAAUGAGAGCAGAAGGGGAAUGGAUAGAGGAGGAAGAUCAGAAGAGAUGAGAGAAGCUAUGGAUGUUAGUCAGGACAGGGAUGAGAGUAUGGGAGUAGGAAGGUCUGAAGAAGGUAUGGGGGAGUCUCAGGGAGGUGCUCAGGCCUCGGGGUACAGCUAUCCACCCUUUCCACAGGGCCCGGGGUAUCCGAUGGGAGGUACGUCGGAUUUCUCCAGUUUUGCCCCAUAUCCAUCCUAUAUGCCCUACAUGCCUUACCCUUCCUUUUAUCCACCUUAUCACAUGUAUCCACCCCCACCUUUUCAUCCAAGUCCAGCACAACCAGAACCUAGAGAAACAGUACCUCCACCAUCACCACCACCUGAACCUGUAGCCCCUGUUGUUGAAGCACAGCAACCCAGUUCUUCAGGGGGGAACAAGGUGAAGAUGACAGAGUACUUAAAGUUGGAUGCUCCUAAAUUCAACACAGGAGAUGAUCCCUUUGAGUAUCUCAGUGCAGUCAGGAUGAUAACAAGUGAGUUGGGAGCAGAUGAUAGUAGGGCCAUUGAAAUGGCAGGGUUCACAUUGAAGUGUAAGAAAGCUAGAGAAUGGUUCAGAAGCUAUGUGGACCCCAGAAUAGACAGUAUGAUGUGGGAAGAGUUCGCCAAUGAGUUUGCUGGGUGGGCUUUUCCUGACAGUUCCAGGGAGAUGAAGGUUGUGGAGUUUGAGCAGUUGAGACAAACAGAGGAGAUGACCGUGGAUGAAUAUACAGAUAAGUUCCUGGAGUUGCUGCCAUACGUGGGUCAGGCGUAUGACACGGAUCAGAAGAAGGCAAGGAGAUAUGCCACAAGGCUUCACCCCAGGUAUUUCUCCUUGAUCCUUCCAGCAGAGAAGGAGAGCUUCCACUCGAUUGUGGAUGCCGCCAGGAAGAUGGAGGCUAGUGGCAUUAUACAAGGAACAGUCAAGCAGCCCAAGGCACAGUCUUCUGGUUCUAAGCCAGCUUCUUCCUCACAGAGUACAGCAGGUAUGGGCAAGAGGAGAUGGGACAAAGUGAGAGGUAAAAAGGGCAAGUUCUGGAACAAGAUCAGAUCUAGUCUGGGAAUGGGUAGCGGCUCCAGCUCUAGCACAGAUAAUCCAGUUUGCAAGAGGUGUGGGAAACUGCAUAGAGGAGCUUGUCUGGUGGGAUCUACAGCCUGCUAUAGAUGUGGGCAGGAGGGACAUUAUGCACGGGAAUGUCCUCAGACGACUUUGGUUGCACCAUCCCAGCAGAUGACCUCAGGCAGUGUUGCACAACCAGCAGCUUCAGCCGUACCACAGAGCAGUGGCAGAGGUAGAGGAAGAGGGGCAACCUCUUCAUCAGGGAUAGGUUCCCGAGGUGCAGGUCCGUCAGCCCCAGCAUGGAUUUUCACCAUGACUCAACAGGAGGCAGACACGUCUAACACCGUGGUGUCAGGUAAUCUCAUCAUUGGGUGUUCAGAGGUGUAUGCUUUGAUGGACCCCGGUGCUUCUCACUCUUUUAUUGCUUCUAGAGCCGCAGAGAGGUUGGGUUUGAUAGUCUCCGAGUUAGAGUGUCCUCUUUCGGUUAGUGGACCCAGAUGUGACCCAUCAUUAGCAGAGUCAGUCUGUCGAUUCAGUCCAGUGUGCAUAGAGGGUAGAUACUUUCCAGCUGACCUUGUGGUUCUAGAGUUGACAGAUUUUGAUGUCAUUCUAGGGAUGGAUUGGUUAUCUACAUGGGAUGCUACCUUGAACUGCAGGGACAAGGUAGUCAGUUUUAGAGACCAGGAUGGGUCAGAGUGUGUCUUCAGAGGAGACAGGAGGGGACACUUAGAGGUUUGAUAUCAGCGCUCCAGGCUCGUAGGUUAUUGAGGAGAGGUUGUCAGGGAUUCCUAGCUCAUGUGAGAGAGCUAGACAGUCGAGUUAGGGAAUCGUCCUCAGUACCAAUGGUUAGAGAGUUCCCAGACGUGUUCCCUGAAGAGCUUCCAGGGCUUCCACCUGAUAGGGAAAUAGAGUUCGAGAUAGAAUUGAUGCCUGGUACCAGACCGAUCUCUAUUCCUCCCUACAGGAUGGCACCAGCAGAGCUGAGAGAGUUGAAAGAGCAGUUGCAGGAGUUGGUAGACAAGGGUUUCAUCCGCCCGAGUACCUCACCUUGGGGUGCUCCAGUGCUGUUUGUCAGAAAGAAGGAUGGAACUCUGAGACUUUGUAUCGACUACAGGCAGUUGAACAAAGUCACUACCAAGAAUAAGUACCCUUUACCCAGGAUCGAUGAUCUAUUCGACCAGAUGGCAAGAGCAGGUUGUUUCUCUAAGAUAGAUCUGAGAUCCGGAUACCAUCAGUUGAAGAUCAGGGAAGAGGAUGUACCGAAGACAGCCUUCAGGACCAGAUAUAGGCAUUAUGAGUUCCUAGUAAUGCCGUUCGGGUUGACUAACGCCCCUGCAGCAUUCAUGGAUCUCAUGAACAGGGUUUUCAGAGAAUACCUGGAUCGCUUUGUGAUCGUCUUCAUAGAUGAUAUCUUGGUGUAUUCUAGAGAUGCAGAUGAACAUGCCCAACAUCUGAGAAUAGUCCUGCAGACUUUGAGAGAACAUGGCUUGUAUGCCAAGUUCUCCAAGUGCGAAUUCUGGUUGAGGAGCAUUUCCUUUUUGGGGCAUGUAGUUUCAGACGAAGGCAUAGCAGUGGACCCCAAGAAGGUAGAGGCAGUAGCCAACUGGCCUACACCCACUACAGUGACAGAGAUCAAGAGUUUUCUGGGUUUGGCAGGCUACUAUCGGAGGUUCGUUCAGGACUUCUCGAAGAUAGCUGCUCCUAUGACCAGACUGACCCGAAAGAACCAGAAGUUUGUGUGGUCAGAAGAAUGUUAAGAAAGUUUUGAAGAGCUGAAGAGACGGUUGACUUCAGCACCAGUUUUAGCUCUGCCAAUCAGUCAUGAGGACUUCACAGUGUUCUGUGAUGCAUCUCGAGUGGGGUUAGGCUGUGUAUUAAUGCAGAACGACAGAGUGAUAGCUUAUGCUUCUAGACAGCUGAAGAAGCAUGAGUUGAACUACCCCACACAUGAUUUGGAAAUGGCAGCAGUUAUCUUUGCACUUAAGAUGUGGAGGCAUUACCUCUACGGAGUUAAAUGUGAGAUCUUCACGGAUCAUAAAAGCCUGCAACACAUCUUGAGCCAAAGAGAACUGAACUUGAGGCAGAGACGGUGGGUAGAAUUGCUCAGUGAUUAUGAUUGCAAGAUCCAAUAUCAUCCGGGAAAGGCUAAUGUAGUAGCUGAUGCCUUAAGCCGGAAGUCACUCGGCAGUUUAUCCCACAUUUCAGCAGUGAGAAGACCGGUGGUGAAGGACUUUUAUAGGCUCAUGGAUGAAGGUUUACGGUUACAGUUAUCUGGUACAGGUGCUUUAGUCGCACAGAUAAAAGUUACCCCCGUGUUUCUAGAGCAGGUGGCUCUGAAACAGCACGAGGACCUUGAGUUAGUGAAGAUUGCUAGGACUGUUCAGUCUGGCAACAGUGCAGAGUUCAGAUUUGACAGUGAGGGGAUUCUUCGUCACGGGAAGAGGUUAUGUGUACCAGAUGACAGCAGUUUGAAAUAGGACAUUAUGAGGGAAGCUCAUAAUGCAAGGUAUAGCAUUCACCCUGGAGCCACCAAAAUGUAUCAGGAUCUGAGAAGAGUUUAUUGGUGGCCAGCGAUGAAGAAAGAAGUGGCACAGUUUGUGUCAGCCUGCGAAACAUGUCAAAGGGUGAAGCUAGAGCACCAGAAGCCGGCUGGAAUGCUUAACCCACUGCCGAUUCCAGAGUGGAAAUGGGAGAACAUAGCCAUGGAUUUUGUAGUGGGGUUACCAGCGACGUCCAACAGACUAGACUCUAUCUGGGUGAUUGUGGAUAGACUGACUAAAUCUGCUCACUUCAUUCCAGUCAAGAGUAACUACUCUGUGGACAGACUUGCGCAGGUGUAUGUAGAAGAGAUAGUGAAGCUGCAUGGAGUUCCAGUGUCGAUAGUCUCAGAUAGAGGACCUCAGUUCACCUCCAGGUUUUGGCGGAGUCUGCAAGCUGCUAUGGGCACAAGGUUGGAUUUCAGCACGGCUUUCCAUCCACAGACAGACGGUCAGUCAGAGAGGACCAUCCAGACCAUAGAGGAUAUGUUGAGAAUGUGCGUGUUAGACUUUGGCGAUUCUUGGAGGCAGCAUCUACCUUUGGUGGAGUUUGACAAUAACAGCCAUCAUGCUAGCAUAGGGAUGGCUCCUUAUGAAGCUUUGUAUGGAAGGAAGUGCAGAACACCUGUUUGAUGGGAAGAAGUAGGAGAGAAGGCUCUUGUAGGGCCAGAGUUAGUGGAGAUUACCAGCAGACUAGUGCCUGUCAUCAGAGAGAGGAUCAGAACAGCUGUAAGCAGACAGAAGAGCUAUGCAGACGUCCGUAGGAAGCAGAUAGAGUUCCAGGAGGGGGAUAUGGUAUUGCUGAAGGUGUCUCCAAUGAAGAGAGUGGUUCGCUUUGGGAGGAAGGGUAAACUAGCUCCACGAUACAUUGGUCCCUUUGAGAUUCUGCAGAGAAUUGGGAAUGUGUCAUACAAGCUGGAUUUACCUGCUUCUAUGGAAAGAAUCCAUCCGAUUAUCCAUGUUUCCAUGCUACGGAAGUUUGUGUCAGAUCCUGGUAAGGUUCUAAGUGAGCCUGAUGUAGAGAUCCUAGGAGAUCUCACCUAUGCAGAACAGCCAGUGCGGAUCAUCGACACUCAGAUCAGAAGGUUGAGAAACAAGGAAAUCCCGAUGGUAAAAGUCCUGUGGAACCACCACAAUCUAGAGGAGUGCACCUGGGAGACACGGGAAUCAAUGCUUCAGCAGUACCCAUAUCUGUUUUGAGGUUAGUCAGCUAGCUUUCCCCUUUUCUAUGUGCUAUGUGUGUUUAUAUGUUUGAGGAACAUUCGGGGAUGAAUGUUCUUAAGGGGGGAGAAUGUAAUACCCGGCUAGAGUCCGGCAUCGGAAUUCCUGUAGUCCGGUGGAUUUCUGAUGUCGGAAUGCCCUAGAAGGGUUCGGGUAUGUUUUUAUGUGUUUUUUUUAAAGAGUUUUAAUGUUUUAAAGUGUUUAAAGGAAUGAGUUUUUGAAAGAAAAGCACCAAGGCAGAAAAGCCAAGGUUCGGCCGCCGAAUGUCACUUUUGGCCGCCGAACUUGCAUGGCUUUCGAAUUUCACGUUUGGCCGCCGAAGGUGGUCUGGCCAGCCACAUAUAAAAGGCCCUAGGUCGGUCAAAUGGAUAAGAUUUCCUUUCCAUUUGCACGAGCUGAGGUGAGACUUGAUCCUCCUUGGGUGAUUUGUGUGUUUUCUCAAAUCUUUCAUGGUUUUGAAUGAUUUUCAUGGGGUUUUGAAGGUUUUGAGCAAAAAGAGCAAGUUUGGAAGCUUGGAGAUUUUGGGAGAAGAUUUCUUCAUAACUCCAUGUUAGGAUCGUUUAUUUCCUUGUUUGGAAGAGGUAAGUAAAGAUCCUGAACUUCCUUUCUUGAUUUUUGAAGGUUUUAAGGGAGUUUUAUGGUGUAUAUGCAUGUUUAAGUGUUAUUUGCUAUGUUUGUUGGGGUUAUAGGUUAGUUUUAGACCCCUUUGUGCAUGUUAUAUUGUAACAGCUCGAAAACCGAACUGAUACCGGCACUAGGAUCCAGAUCGGCUUAAGGCCGCCUAGACUCGUAGUAAGCCUACUGUGAACUCUGUGUACCUGUGAAAUCCCAUACAUGAUCAUACACUUUCUGUAACAAUUAAAACUUUUCUUUUUACACGGCUUAAACUGUGCAUACUGUAUCUCUAUACUGAAAAAACUUGCCAGAGCUCUCCUCUUAGCUCAAGGCAGCUCAAACUCAUACUAUGUUAAGCCUGGUUUUUCAUACAUAAAACAUAGAACAUUUACAUAAAAAGAUCAUGUACAAACUCAAAGGGAUAACAACUCUUGUACGUCAAGCACCAUCUAUACACUAUACAUUAUAUUAUCUCUUUACAAAUACAUGUCCAUUCUAACUAUUACAUAGUCUCUAUACAUUCUUCCUGUACCCUUCUUACUCUCUUCCGAACUCAGAACCUGCAAAACUGGGGUUAAGGGAGAGGGGUGAGCUUCUAUAGCCCAGUGAGCAGGAACUAUAAAAACAGUUUAUAAAACAUAUGCCUUUAUGCCAUGCAUCACUUCACAAAAAUACACAUCAAGGAAGAAGUUGUCACCUAUAGCCCUCCACAUAACUGACUCACAUGUGGCACUUUACUAAGCACAGUGCCUGGGGCGAUUAGGCCUCCUCCAGGACUUAAUGUUCUGAAAAGGUUUUGUCAGGGCGAUUAGGCCUCCUGACUGUUUUCUGAAAACGUUUUGUCAGGGCGAUUAGGCCUCCUGACUACAUUAACAUAAUAACAGGGGCGGUCAGGCCUCCCUGCUCACAUACCUGUCAUGCUUGACUCUUUACUUCAUUCAUAUCAUAUCAUAGCAUACUAUACUGAGGGCUACAGGAUCAUUCAACGUUCAUCCGCAUAUUCAUUAAAUUAUGCAAUGCAGCAUCUUCGUGGAUUCUAAUGCAACAACCUAAUAUUACAUGGCAUCCAUGAUGCGUGUCUCAUGCUCAUGCAGUUAUUAUCUUUAAACAUCAUUUCAAAUCAUGCAUAGUUAGUCCCACUCACCUCUGGCUGACUUUAGACUGACUUUGCAGGUUCUGUAGCAGUGCUCACUGCUGAUCUCCCUGGUUUCUUUGGUCCGUUCCUACACAAUUGGACUCAGAUGAGGAACCAAACUAACUUCAUGACAUCUCUACUAACUCCCCCAAAAGCCCUCUAAAAGACCUUAGAACUAUCACAUAAAACAUGCAAAAGAAAGCUGGACAGGGCACUUUCGGCGGCAGGUUCGGCGGCCGAAACUCCCCUCCAGAGACGAAACUCACCUACUUUCGGCGGCCGAACCUCUACUUUCGGCGGCCAAAAGUCCUAUUACUACUCCUUCGGGUGCACAUUCGGCAUCCAAAAGUCUCAUCCAGAGACGAAACUCAACCUUCGGCGGCACUUUCGGCGGCCGAACCUUCCCUCCAGAGACGAAAAUCCCAUUUUUCAGAGGCAAGCUUAGGCAGCCGAAACCACCUCCUCAGCACAUUCGGCGGCCGAACCCUUCUUCGGCGGCCGAACCCUUCUUCGGCGGCCGAACCUGGUUUCUCCCGAAGGGCAGAAACCUGCUCUGCUUCAUGCACAACUCCUCCUAUCCUUCUCUCAACAUGCACACACAACUCCUCAACAUGCAUAUACACUUGUACAUGCUCAAAGGGGUCUAAAACUAGCCUAUAACCCCAACAAACACAACAUAUAACACUUAAACAUGCUUGAACCUCAAAAAUCAUCAAAAACCUCCUAUAAACCUAAUCAUGCAUACUACCCCAUAAACUUUCAUAAAACCUUUAAAAAUCAUGUUAAAAGCUUAGGAUCUAUCCCUUACCUCUUGGAAAACUUGAGGUUAAAUGACUCUAACGUGGAGUUGUGAAGAUCUCAGCUCUCCAAGCUCCAAACUUCAAAACUCACUCUUUUUGCUCAAAACUUCAAAACAACCACAACACCUUUAAAACUCAUGGAAGAUUUAGUGAGAAACUCAAAAAUCAUGAAAGUCAACAUGGAGAGGUUUUGCUCAUCUUUGGCUGCUGGUGGGAGGAGAAAUAUCCUCCUCUCACCGACCCUCGGGCCUUUUAUAGGUGGCUGGCCAGACCACCUUCGGCAGCCGAACGUGAAGCCGAAACCAUGCAAUGUUCGGCGGCCGAAAGUGACCUUCGACGGCCGAACAUUAACAUUUCUCCCCUAUUAUUUUUCUUUCAAAAACUCACUUCUCUAACCCUUUAAAACCUUAAAACUCUUUAAAAAACAUACUUAAAACUCUUUAAAGGCACUAAAACUCUUUUAAAAAACUUUCUUAAAAAUACUUUAAAACAUAUGUAUUACCCUUCUAGAGAAUUCUGACACCCGAGAUUCCACCGGACUACAGGAGUUCCGAUGCCGGACUCUAGCCGGGUAUUACAUUCUCCCCCCUUAAGAACAUUCGUCCCCGAAUGUUCCUCAAACUUAUAAACACAUAGAAAAGGGCAAAACUAACUCUAAACAGACAUAGGUAUUGCUGAAACAUAACUCCUGUGUCUCCCCGGUGCACUUCUUUUAAAUAAUAGUGGUUCACCAAAACCUUAACCAUCGAAACCUCUUUGUUUCUCAGCUUCCUGCUCAUUCCUCCUAUAGUGAACCUCCCUUGUAUCGAAGACACCUUCAGCAAUACCAUAUCUCCCGCCUGAACCUCCAUACCUGGCAACUUGACCAUCUCUGUGUUCUUCUACUUGUUUCUGAGCUACUUGCUCUAGAAACACUGGUGUAACUUCCAUCUGUGCCCUUCACGCAUUAGUACCCAAUACUCUACAUAUCCAUCCUUCAUCACCUAUCCUCUAAGCUCUACAAGCUUUCGCUGUGCACUCUGAUCCUUGCCCUUCUCUCUUCAUCUCUUCUAACCUGGCUUCCUUUUUAACUCUCAACGGGUCGUAUCCCCGUUCAACUGCUCUCAAACGUACAAGGUCUUAAGGAUUAAUCCUUCGUUUCCCCCUAUUCAUACUAAACACUCUAGAGUGGGGUACUAAGUCGGAUUAAACCCUUUUCUACCAAGUCUCUCAACUACUCCUAACUCUCUUAGCUUUACUCGUGCUAAACGUUAACUCUAUCUACAGGCACUGAAACUAUUUUCCUAUCUUGAUCAUCUUACUUCCUUUCAUGAGCUACAAACCCCUGUUCACCCCUUCCUGGGCAACCUAUGAGCCUGUAGGGCUGAUAUCAAACCUCUGAGCAUCUAUACUCUGUCCCUCUAAAGGACUACCUCUGAUCCAUCCUAUACUCUGAACAUCUCUACCUUGUCUCUGCAGACUCGACAGUACUACGAGUAGCUAGCCAAUCUAUCAUUAGAAGGACAUCAAAACUGUCCAAUCUAUAACCAUAAUGUUAGAAAAAAGGCAUCUACUCACCACUAACUGACUCUACUACUGAUGGACCACUCUGGAGUCUACUAACUCCACAACACUCUAAGCCCAGAAGCUAUUAGACCUACUCUCUCUAUGGUUCUAAAACCAACAGGGGAAAAACAUUAGGGCUUAAACAGACAUACACAUCAAAACAUCCAAAGAUGUAGUUACCUGACACCCUGGUGUUAAACGUGUCUGCCUCUUGUUGUGUCAUAGUAAAGAUCCGAGCCGGAGCUGACGGACCUUCACCUCGGGAACCCAUCUGUGAAGAGGUUGACCCUCUUCCUCUACCUCUGCUCUGUGUCGUGGCUGGAGCUACUGGUCGUGGUACACUUCCCAAAGUUGUCUGAUGGGACGGUGCUGUGAAAAAUGCCUGAGGGCACUCACGAGCCAUGUGUCC